This 1248-nucleotide long non-coding RNA is filed under the name Triticum aestivum (bread wheat). Its description in RNAcentral is "long non-coding RNA (TAES_LNC025702)". The record is from RNAcentral. Lineage: Eukaryota; Viridiplantae; Streptophyta; Magnoliopsida; Poales; Poaceae.
UCCGUGCCAAAUUUCAUGGAGUUUGGACAUUUCAGUAGCUCUCAGCAAAAAGGACAAAAUUUAGGGCUGUAAGAAAGGCUACUGUUCAUACUGUUUUGACCGUUUUUUAUCUUUUUUGCUAUGACCUCCUCGGAUGUCCGAACUAGUUGAAAUUUGGCAGGAACAUCACGCGUUGGAACAUCUUUCACCUAUUUUUUUUUCAAAAGUUUUUGAAUUUUUUUAGUAUUUUUUUGAAUUUACUGUUCACCGGGUGCAGAUGAGCCCGGGCACCGAAUUGAAUAUCCGGUAAUCAAAGCCAUACAUUGAAGACUGAAAAGCCAAAAGUGCCAUUCAUUUUGGGGAUGGAGUAGCUUUUUAGUGUUCUUACAAUUGGGAUUAUGGCAAUUAGUUAAUGAGAGCUUGUUGUUUAAUAUUUCAAGGAAGAAAGAAGAGAAUAAUAUUUUAUUACAAUCUUUUCUUUUUGAAGUGCUCUUAUUAAAUUUAGCAUGAGAAUCAGGUAUGAUGUUUAGAAUAUUUGUAUUUACUACACAAUAUUUGAUAUGCUUUUCUGUUUCCUAUGUAUUCUCGAAUAUCCAUGACCUAAAUGGUCCAUUUCAUUGAUUACCUAUAUUAGCUGAUAAGACUAUUUGAGUUUCUGACCAUGUUGUGCAUCUGCAGAUGAAAUGUGGAAAAACCUCAAGCAGCAAGCCCAAAGAAUUCCACUGAAUUCAUGCAAUUAACUGAUGGAUCUGUUGAAGAAGUGUAAGUUCUUGAAGCUAUCUGAUGUAAUAGUUGCUGAAGCGAAGCUUUCUUUAAAUUUAUCAAAAAGAGAGUUGUCAAUUGAUCUAUAUCAUUGCUUGGCUAAAAAACAACUAAUCUACAUCUGAAUCUGCAGGGUUCAUCCCAAUCAGUGCAUUGCACAUGUUGUGGAGUAUGUGUAGGGAUCUUCAACUGUAAAUUAAACAAUGUAAUUAUCCUGUAUUAUGUUUCUGGAAAUAGGUUUAUAUAACGCAUUCUCAGUACUUUGGUUCUGGUACAUUUAGUUUAAUGAGCAUUCCCGGGUUUUCAGCAAUGGGCUUAGCUUAUGGUUGUGUUGAACUUAUGUUGUACGUAGUUUGCUACACUGAAAGUGGAAGUUAAUGACUUUUUUGUAUGAACUAAAUAACCUACCUAAAUCCAGAAAAUAAAUAACAUAAAACUAUGGGUGUGUUUGGCAACCGACAGAAUGUGUAGCGAGAUUUUUUUCUUCUUCUAUACAAUCCAUAUUGG